GACCGGUUGGCGCAAUUGGUAGCGCGUCAGAUUCCAGCAUCCAUCCUGGAACCUCCUGAAGGUUAUCCGUUCGAGUCGGGUAUCGGUCA
Xylariaceae sp. FL0804 is the source of this 89-nucleotide non-coding RNA. The record is from the annotation of a GenBank genome assembly. NCBI's taxonomy places the organism in Eukaryota, Fungi, Ascomycota, Sordariomycetes, Xylariales, Xylariaceae.